GACGAAGGGGGCUAGCGUUGCUCGGAAUCACUGGGCGUAAAGCGCACGUAGGCGGGUUGUUAAGUCGGGGGUGAAAUCCUGGAGCUCAACUCCAGAACUGCCUUCGAUACUGGCGAGCUUGAGUCCGGGAGAGGUGAGUGGAACUCCGAGUGUAGAGGUGAAAUUCGUAGAUAUUCGGAAGAACACCAGUGGCGAAGGCGGCUCACUGGCCCGGUACUGACGCUGAGGUGCGAAAGCGUGGGGAGCAAACAGG
This 253-nucleotide ribosomal RNA is filed under the name uncultured bacterium. RNAcentral describes it as "partial 16S ribosomal RNA". It matches the Rfam family "Bacterial small subunit ribosomal RNA", at positions 524 to 776 of the family's 1533-position model. The record is from RNAcentral.